Molecule: ribosomal RNA, 466 nt
Filed under: uncultured bacterium
Lineage: Bacteria
Description: partial 16S ribosomal RNA
Rfam family: Bacterial small subunit ribosomal RNA
Source: RNAcentral
GAUGAACGCUGGCGGCGUGCUUAACACAUGCAAGUCGAACGAUGAAGCCCAGCUUGCUGGGUGGAUUAGUGGCGAACGGGUGAGUAACACGUGAGUAACCUGCCCUUGACUCUGGGAUAAGCGCUGGAAACGGCGUCUAAUACCGGAUACGAGCUUCCACCGCAUGGUGAGUUGCUGGAAUGAAUUUCGGUCAAGGAUGGACUCGCGGCCUAUCAGGUAGUUGGUGAGGUAACGGCUCACCAAGCCGACGACGGGUAGCCGGCCUGAGAGGGUGACCGGCCACACUGGGACUGAGACACGGCCCAGACUCCUACGGGAGGCAGCAGUGGGGAAUAUUGCACAAUGGGCGCAAGCCUGAUGCAGCAACGCCGCGUGAGGGACGAAGGCCUUCGGGUCGUAAACCUCUUUUAGCAGGGAAGAAGCGAAAGUGACGGUACCUGCAGAAAAAGCACCGGCUAACUACGUG